Molecule: non-coding RNA, 69 nt
Organism: Podarcis lilfordi (Lilford's wall lizard)
Lineage: Eukaryota; Metazoa; Chordata; Lepidosauria; Squamata; Lacertidae
Source: the annotation of a GenBank genome assembly
GGUGUGGUUCAGUGGUAGAGAAUCUGUCUUGCAUGCAGAGCAUCCUAGGUUCAAUCUCUGACAGCAGCA